CUACGGGGUGCACCAGUGGGGAAUUUUGGACAAUGGGGGCAACCCUGAUCCAGCCAUGCCGCGUGAGUGAAGAAGGCCUUCGGGUUGUAAAGCUCUUUCAGCCGGGAAGAAAUCGCAUGGGCCAAUACCCUGUGCGGAUGACGGUACCGGAAUAAGAAGCACCGGCUAACUACGUGCCAGCAGCCGCGGUAAUACGUAGGGUGCGAGCGUUAAUCGGAAUUACUGGGCGUAAAGCGUGCGCAGGCGGAUGCUUAAGUCAGAUGUGAAAUCCCCGGGCUUAACCUGGGAAUUGCAUUUGAAACUGGGUGUCUAGAGUGCGUCAGAGGGGGGUGGAAUUCCACGUGUAGCAGUGAAAUGCGUAGAUAUGUGGAGGAACACCAAUGGCGAAGGCAGCCCCCUGGGAUGACACUGACGCUCAUACACGAAAGCGUGGGGAGCAAACAGGAUUAGAUACCCGGGUAGUC
This 464-nucleotide ribosomal RNA is filed under the name uncultured bacterium. Its description in RNAcentral is "partial 16S ribosomal RNA". It matches the Rfam family "Bacterial small subunit ribosomal RNA", at positions 339 to 795 of the family's 1533-position model. The record is from RNAcentral.